Molecule: ribosomal RNA, 497 nt
Filed under: uncultured bacterium
Lineage: Bacteria
Description: partial 16S ribosomal RNA
Rfam family: Bacterial small subunit ribosomal RNA
Source: RNAcentral
UAUUAACUCUGGCGGCGUGCCUAAUACAUGCAAGUCGAGCGAACAGACGAGGAGCUUGCUCCUCUGACGUUAGCGGCGGACGGGUGAGUAACACGUGGAUAACCUACCUAUAAGACUGGGAUAACUUCGGGAAACCGGAGCUAAUACCGGAUAAUAUAUUGAACCGCAUGGUUCAAUAGUGAAAGACGGUUUUGCUGUCACUUAUAGAUGGAUCCGCGCCGCAUUAGCUAGUUGGUAAGGUAACGGCUUACCAAGGCAACGAUGCGUAGCCGACCUGAGAGGGUGAUCGGCCACACUGGAACUGAGAAACGGUCCAGACUCCUACGGGAGGCAGCAGUAGGGAAUCUUCCGCAAUGGGCGAAAGCUUGACGGAGCAACGCCGCGUGAGUGAUGAAGGUCUUCGGAUCGUAAAACUCUGUUAUUAGGGAAGAACAAAUGUGUAAGUAACUAUGCACGUCUUGACGGUACCUAAUCAGAAAGCCACGGCUAACUACGUG